RNAcentral lists this ribosomal RNA (468 nucleotides) under uncultured bacterium. RNAcentral's name for it is "partial 16S ribosomal RNA". It matches the Rfam family "Bacterial small subunit ribosomal RNA", at positions 28 to 507 of the family's 1533-position model. The record is from RNAcentral.
GAUGAACGCUGGCGGCGUGCUUAACACAUGCAAGUCGAACGGAAAGGCCCAAGCUUGCUUGGGUACUCGAGUGGCGAACGGGUGAGUAACACGUGGGUGAUCUGCCCUGCACUUCGGGAUAAGCCUGGGAAACUGGGUCUAAUACCGGAUAGGACGAUGGUUUGGAUGCCAUUGUGGAAAGUUUUUUCGGUGUGGGAUGAGCUCGCGGCCUAUCAGCUUGUUGGUGGGGUAAUGGCCUACCAAGGCGUCGACGGGUAGCCGGCCUGAGAGGGUGUACGGCCACAUUGGGACUGAGAUACGGCCCAGACUCCCACGGGAGGCAGCAGUGGGGAAUAUUGCACAAUGGGCGCAAGCCUGAUGCAGCGACGCCGCGUGGGGGAUGACGGCCUUCGGGUUGUAAACUCCUUUCGCUAGGGACGAAGCGUUUUUGUGACGGUACCUGGAGAAGAAGCACCGGCUAACUACGUG